Pan troglodytes (chimpanzee) is the source of this 1692-nucleotide long non-coding RNA. RefSeq lists it as uncharacterized. The record is from RefSeq and is a predicted model, not a curated record. NCBI's taxonomy places the organism in Eukaryota, Metazoa, Chordata, Mammalia, Primates, Hominidae. The transcript has 3 exons.
GUAGAGGUUUGGCGUGUGGCCUGCGGGUUCCCCGGGCACGUCGACGUGCGCUCCUCUCUGGUCUCGAGUCACCAGGACCAGAUCGAGGAUGCGGCCGACCCCCUGCCCGAUGUGGAAAGCGAAGUCUCCACCUCGUGAUUGGGUCUCUGCUGUCAGAGAGCUUCACGAGCUUGAGGGGAAACAGACAGAGAGGUCUGGGCAUUGGGCAGUUUCCCGCCUCCCAGCCCCGCGCACUGAACAGACCGUGACCAGAACUGCGAACAAAGCGCGGAGGGAAGCUCCUAAAGGAGGCCAAAGCGGCCGGGCGCUGUGGCUCACACCUGUAACCCCAGCCUGUAAGCCUAGCUACUCGGGAGGCCGAGGCAGAAGGAGCGCUUGAAGCCAGGAGUUGGAAGCUGCAGUAAUCCGUGAUCGGACCGUUGCACUCUAGCCUGGGCAACAUAACGUCCUUUGAAAAAAAAAAAAAAAAAAAAAAACAGAGGCCAAAACGGGUAGCAGUGGUGCCCGGGCACCAAGGAUGGAAGGCCUCUCUGAGGAGGUGAUGCCGAGCUGAAGCUGGGAAGCGGAUGUGAGGGAAGAGUUCCAGGCAGAGGGAAGGCAAAUGCAGAGAUCCUCAGGCAGGAACACUGAACUGUUCUCCGUAUUUGAGGAGCAGAGGGCGUGUCAGUGGUGGCCGCAGCAGCUGAGCAAAGGUCUUAGAAUCCCAGCUAAUGUCGUGGGACCUAGCACCCAAUCCCAAAAGAAAGAAGAAUAGAUAGGAACCCACUGUUGACAAGAAGGUGCACUGAGAAGUGUUUUUAUCUGACCCGAUCUGCAUCCAGUUUAGAAGCCGAUACAUCAGGGAUUUAACAAUCUGCCUUAAUGUCUAGCAAGGGGGGUUGCUGGAGGGAAAACACAGAGUCAGAGUUCUAUCUUCAGCCCUGCCAGCAGGUCCCUGGGAGAUGCUAGACGAGUGACUUUUCUCUGGGCGUGGUUGGUGUAAGGGAUGCACACGCAGGAGGAAGGUCGGAGUGUAAAUGUGUGACGUGGGCCUGUUACUGGGUAUAAAUGGGCCUGUAGUGACCGGGAGCUCAUGUUCUACCAAAGGGGUUGCCAAUUUUCUGAUUUCGAGUGUGGCGGUGUAAAAGAGAAAAGCAACUGCUGCCAGCUGGGAGCUGGUUUGCACCCUCACUCCAGAAGCCUUGAUGUUGCUAGGAGCUGGCCUGGCACCAACAGCGCGGCCAUGGUGGUGUCCUGUUGAGCAAAAUAAUUUCACAAAAAACAUCAGACAAGGUCACUCUCUGACUGAUUAUCUAGAAAAAGACCAUUCCAUAAUAAAGCCUCAAUACAGAAACAAGAACAUUGUCCAAACCACAAAAAUUACCAACACAAUCCUCUCUCCCACAGCGCUGGAGUGCAGUGAUGCAAUCUUGGCUCACCACAACCUCCACCUCCAGGUUCAAGCGAUUCUCCUGCCUCAGCUUCCAGAGUAUCUGGGAUUACAGGCACCCACCAUCAUGCCCAGAUCAUUUCUGUAUUUUUAGUAGAGAUGGGGAUUCACCAAGUUGCCCAGGUGCUUCCUGGUGGUCCUUGGUUGGAGGGUACUAUCAGAAAUGGAGGAGCAACAAAGAUUCAGCUGAAGCCCUCACUGCCUGGGACUGGGACCCUUGACUCGUCAUUGUAUGCACACCUGAAACUGCUUAUGUCGCUGAG